RNAcentral lists this ribosomal RNA (641 nucleotides) under Phyllosticta capitalensis. RNAcentral describes it as "eukaryotic LSU rRNA". The stretch from base 275 to 428 matches the Rfam family "5.8S ribosomal RNA". The record is from RNAcentral. Lineage: Eukaryota; Fungi; Ascomycota; Dothideomycetes; Botryosphaeriales; Phyllostictaceae.
UCGUAACAAGGUUUCCGUAGGUGAACCUGCGGAAGGAUCAUUACUGAAAUGUAAUAACUUCUAUUGAAAGGUUCCAGAGUAGGCGCUACAACGCCGAAAUGACCUUCUCACCCUUGUGUACUCACUAUGUUGCUUUGGCGGGUCGACCUGGUUCCGACCCAGGCGGCCGGCGCCCCCAGCCUUAACUGGCCAGGACGCCCGGCUAAGUGCCCGCCAGUAUACAAAACUCAAGAAUUCAUUUUGUGAAGUCCUGAUAUAUCAUUUAAUUGAUUAAAACUUUCAACAACGGAUCUCUUGGUUCUGGCAUCGAUGAAGAACGCAGCGAAAUGCGAUAAGUAAUGUGAAUUGCAGAAUUCAGUGAAUCAUCGAAUCUUUGAACGCACAUUGCGCCCUCUGGUAUUCCGGAGGGCAUGCCUGUUCGAGCGUCAUUUCAACCCUCAAGCUCUGCUUGGUAUUGGGCAACGUCCGCUGCCGGACGUGCCUUGAAGACCUCGGCGACGGCGUCCUAGCCUCGAGCGUAGUAGUAAAAUAUCUCGCUUUGGAGUGCUGGGCGACGGCCGCCGGACAAUCGACCUUCGGUCUAUUUUUCCAAGGUUGACCUCGGAUCAGGUAGGGAUACCCGCUGAACUUAAGCAUAUCAA